Long non-coding RNA from Cyprinodon tularosa, 162 nucleotides. RefSeq lists it as uncharacterized. The transcript has 3 exons. Lineage: Eukaryota; Metazoa; Chordata; Actinopteri; Cyprinodontiformes; Cyprinodontidae. The record is from RefSeq and is a predicted model, not a curated record.
GUGGAAGGACCAUUCUGCACCUGAUGCAUCAGCAAAUUUGUUUUGAUCACUCUUAAAAUGUAUACCUUUGUAACGGCUUUCUUCCUCGUGCUGUGUUCAGGACUUCUACAGGUUUCAGUAGCUGCAAACCGUCUGCGAUGGUUUAUUUCAUCAGAGGUUAAU